AACAUGCAGUCGUACAGGUACCAGAGCUUGUUCUUUGGUGACUAGUGGCGUUACUUGUGUAGUAAUGUCUGGGAAACUGCCUGAUGGAGGGGGAUAACUACUGGAAACGGUAGCUAAUACCGAAUAACGUCGCAAGACCAAAGAGGGGGACCUUCGGGCCUCUUGCCAUCAGAUGUGCCCAGAUGGGAUUAGCUAGUAGGUGGGGUAACGGCUCACCUAGGCGACGAUCCCUAGCUGGUCUGAGAGGAUGACCAGCCACACUGGAACUGAGACACGGUCCAGACUCCUACGGGAGGCAGCAGUGGGGAAUAUUGCACAAUGGGCGCAAGCCUGAUGCAGCCAUGCCGCGUGUAUGAAGAAGGCCUUCGGGUUGUAAAGUACUUUCAGCGGGGAGGAAGGCGAUAAGGUUAAUAACCUUGUCAAUUGACGUUACCCGCAGAAGAAGCACCGGCUAACUCCGUGCCAGCAGCCGCGGUAAUACGGAGGGUGCAAGCGUUAAUCGGAAUUACUGGGCGUAAAGCGCACGCAGGCGGUCUGUCAAGUCGGAUGUGAAAUCCCCGGGCUCAACCUGGGAACUGCAUUCGAAACUGGCAGGCUGGAGUCUUGUAGAGGGGGGUA
RNAcentral lists this ribosomal RNA (618 nucleotides) under Klebsiella oxytoca. RNAcentral's name for it is "bacterial SSU rRNA". It matches the Rfam family "Bacterial small subunit ribosomal RNA", at positions 52 to 663 of the family's 1533-position model. The record is from RNAcentral. Lineage: Bacteria; Pseudomonadati; Pseudomonadota; Gammaproteobacteria; Enterobacterales; Enterobacteriaceae.